This 84-nucleotide microRNA precursor is filed under the name Tetraodon nigroviridis (spotted green pufferfish). RNAcentral's name for it is "miRNA (ENSTNIG00000020222.1)". The record is from RNAcentral. Lineage: Eukaryota; Metazoa; Chordata; Actinopteri; Tetraodontiformes; Tetraodontidae.
ACGAGCAUGUGCAGGUGCGUGUGUGUGGGCUGCACACACACACACACACACACACACACACACACACACACACACACACACACA